GCAAGUCGAGCGCGCCUUCGGGUGAGCGGCGGACGGGUUAGUAACGCGUGGGAACGUGCCCUUCUCUACGGAAUAGCCUCUGGAAACGGAGAGUAAUACCGUAUACGCCCUUUGGGGGAAAGAUUUAUCGGAGAAGGAUCGGCCCGCGUUAGAUUAGGUAGUUGGUGGGGUAACGGCCUACCAAGCCUACGAUCUAUAGCUGGUUUUAGAGGAUGAUCAGCAACACUGGGACUGAGACACGGCCCAGACUCCUACGGGAGGCAGCAGUGGGGAAUCUUAGACAAUGGGGGCAACCCUGAUCUAGCCAUGCCGCGUGAGUGAUGAGGGGCUUAGGGUCGUAAAGCUCUUUCGCCUGUGAUGAUAAUGACAGUAGCAGGUAAAGAAACCCCGGCUAACUCCGUG
Molecule: ribosomal RNA, 402 nt
Filed under: uncultured bacterium
Lineage: Bacteria
Description: bacterial SSU rRNA
Rfam family: Bacterial small subunit ribosomal RNA
Source: RNAcentral